RNAcentral lists this ribosomal RNA (433 nucleotides) under uncultured bacterium. RNAcentral describes it as "partial 16S ribosomal RNA". It matches the Rfam family "Bacterial small subunit ribosomal RNA", at positions 29 to 507 of the family's 1533-position model. The record is from RNAcentral.
AACGAACGCUGGCGGCAUGCCUAACACAUGCAAGUCGAGCGAAGACUUCGUUCCUAUCUGCGGACGUCGGGGUAACGCGUGGGAACUUGCCCUUUGCUUCGGUAUAGUCCUCUGAAACUGGGAUUAAUACCGGAUGAGCCCUUUCGGGGUAGGAUUUAUGGGGGAAGGAUCGGCGUGCGUUGGAUUAGGUAGUUGGUGGGGUAAUGGCCUAUCAUGCCCAGGAUGCAUAGCUGGUAUGAGAGGAUGAUCAAGCACACUGGAGCUGAGGCCCGGACUAGAAUCCUACGCGAGGGAGCAGAGUGGAAUAUUAGACAAUGGAGGAAAAUCUGAUCUAGCCAUGCCGGGUAAGCGAUGAAGGCCUUAGGAUUGUAAAGCCCUUUGAGCUGGGAAGAUAGUGACGGUACCAGCAGAAGAAGCCCCGGCUAACUACGUG